Aphis gossypii (cotton aphid) is the source of this 631-nucleotide long non-coding RNA. RefSeq lists it as uncharacterized. The transcript has 3 exons. Lineage: Eukaryota; Metazoa; Arthropoda; Insecta; Hemiptera; Aphididae. The record is from RefSeq and is a predicted model, not a curated record.
CAGCCAAGUAGUUUGGAACUUUAAUAUUUUAUUUUAUACACAAUGUUUUGUUAUAACUUUUUGCAUUACUUACCUAUGUAUUUUUUAUGAUUCAUUUUUUUAACAAAUACUGAUGUUAAAUUGGUUUUAGGGUCCGUAACACCUUGUAGAAGAAUUAAAUAUAUUGGAUGCAUAUCUAAUCGACAAUUUCAAAGGCAACUUAAGAAUGAACUUGAAAUUGCCAUUCAACCAGUAAUCCAAUAGAAGAAAUAAAACCUUCCAAUGAGCACGAAAAAGUAAAAUCAUCUGAUGCGGAAAUUAGUUUGGAACCAUUAUUUAAUAAUCAUUUACUAAUUACAAGAAGAACUUAUGUUACCAGUAAUAGCACUUGCAUCUUAUAAUGAUAUUUCAAAAAAAGUUCAGCCAAUAUUUUAAAAAGAGGUUACUGGUGAAGAUUUAAAUCAAGUUUUAAUAAAAAGACUUUGUAAAUGGGCUGUAAACUUUAAUGUUUCCCAUAGAAGUGCAAAUGAAAUACUAUCUAUUCUGCAUAAUAUUGGUUUAAAAGUUCCAAAAUAUAUCACAACUAUUCUACAUCAACAUAAAGAUAGAAUAAAUCAUCCUAUGAUUAAAAUCUAAAACAGUUCAUAUUUAG